This 497-nucleotide ribosomal RNA is filed under the name uncultured soil bacterium. RNAcentral describes it as "bacterial SSU rRNA". It matches the Rfam family "Bacterial small subunit ribosomal RNA", at positions 26 to 518 of the family's 1533-position model. The record is from RNAcentral.
AGGAUGAACGCUAGCGGCAGGCUUAAUACAUGCAAGUCGAGGGGUAAAAGAGAGCUUGCUCUCUUUGAGACCGGCAAACGGGUGCGGAACACGUACGCAACCUUCCCAUAACUGGUGAAUAGCCCUCCGAAAGGAGGAUUAAUACACCGUAAUAUAAUGAUGUGGCAUCACAUUAUUAUCAUAGGCUUCGGCCGGUUUUGGAUGGGCGUGCGCCUGAUUAGGUAGUUGGCGGGGUAACGGCCCACCAAGCCUUCGAUCAGUAACUGGUGUGAGAGCACGACCAGUCACACGGGCACUGAGACACGGGCCCGACUCCUACGGGAGGCAGCAGUAAGGAAUAUUGGUCAAGUGGACGAAAGUCUAGAACCAGCCAUCGCCGCGUAGGAAGGAUUAAGGCCCUCGUGGUUAGUAAACUUUCUUUUAUCGUAGGAACGAAAACGGUAUUCUUACUCACUUGACGUACAGAGAAUAGCACGCUAACUCGUGCCAGCAGCCGC